Molecule: ribosomal RNA, 468 nt
Filed under: uncultured bacterium
Lineage: Bacteria
Description: partial 16S ribosomal RNA
Rfam family: Bacterial small subunit ribosomal RNA
Source: RNAcentral
GACGAACGCUGGCGGCGUGCUUAACACAUGCAAGUCGAACGGAAAGGCCCUGCUUUUGUGGGGUGCUCGAGUGGCGAACGGGUGAGUAACACGUGAGUAACCUGCCCUUGACUUUGGGAUAACUUCAGGCAACUGGGGCUCAUACCGGAUAGGAGCUCCUGCUGCAUGGUGGGGGUUGGUAAGUUUCGGCGGUUGGGGAUGGACUCGCGGCGUAUCAGCUUGUUGGUGGGGUAGUGGCUUACCAAGGCUUUGACGGGUAGCCGGCCUGAGAGGGUGACCGGCCACAUUGGGACUGAGAUACGGCCCAGACUCCUACGGGAGGCAGCAGUGGAGAAUAUUGCACAAUGGGCGGAAGCCUGAUGCAGCAACGCCGCGUGCGGGAUGACGGCCUUCGGGUUGUAAACCGCUUUCGCCUGUGACGAAGCGUGAGUGACGGUAAUGGGUAAAGAAGCACCGGCUAACUACGUG